Molecule: ribosomal RNA, 356 nt
Filed under: uncultured Sphingomonadaceae bacterium
Lineage: Bacteria; Pseudomonadati; Pseudomonadota; Alphaproteobacteria; Sphingomonadales; Sphingomonadaceae
Description: bacterial SSU rRNA
Rfam family: Bacterial small subunit ribosomal RNA
Source: RNAcentral
GAUGAACGCUGGCGGUAUGCUUAACACAUGCAAGUCGAACGAAGGCUUCGGCCUUAGUGGCGCACGGGUGCGUAACGCGUGGGAAUCUGCCCUUGGGUUCGGAAUAACAGUGGGAAACUACUGCUAAUACCGGAUGAUGACGUAAGUCCAAAGAUUUAUCGCCCAAGGAUGAGCCCGCGUAGGAUUAGCUAGUCGGUGAGGUAAAGGCUCACCAAGGCGACGAUCCUUAGCUGGUCUGAGAGGAUGAUCAGCCACACUGGGACUGAGACACGGCCCAGACUCCUACGGGAGGCAGCAGUGGGGAAUAUUGGACAAUGGGCGAAAGCCUGAUCCAGCAAUGCCGCGUGGGUGAAGAA